ACUCAAUAGAUACCCAGGUAGUCCAUGCCGUAAACGUUGGGCACUAGGUGUGGGGGACAUUCCACGUUUUCCGCGCCGUAGCUAAACGCAUUAAGUGCCCCGCCUGGGGAGUACGGCCGCAAGGCUAAAACUCAAAGGAAUUGACGGGGGCCCGCACAAGCGGCGGAGCAUGCGGAUUAAAUUCGAUGCAACGCGAAGAACCUUACCAAGGCUUGACAUGAACCAGACCGGGCUGGAAACAGUCCUUCCCCUUGUGGGUUGGUUUACAGGUGGUGCAUGGUUGUCGUCAGCUCGUGUCGUGAGAUGUUGGGUUAAGUCCCGCAACGAGCGCAACCCUCGUUCUAUGUUGCCAGCACGUGAUGGUGGGGACUCAUAGGAGACUGCCGGGGUCAACUCGGAGGAAGGUGGGGACGACGUCAAAUCAUCAUGCCCCUUAUGUCUUGGGCUUCACGCAUGCUACAAUGGCCGGUACAAAGGGUUGCGAUACUGUGAGGUGGAGCUAAUCCCAAAAAGCCGGUCUCAGUUCGGAUUGGGGUCUGCAA
RNAcentral lists this ribosomal RNA (542 nucleotides) under uncultured bacterium. RNAcentral's name for it is "bacterial SSU rRNA". It matches the Rfam family "Bacterial small subunit ribosomal RNA", at positions 772 to 1310 of the family's 1533-position model. The record is from RNAcentral.